Molecule: ribosomal RNA, 327 nt
Filed under: uncultured Bacteroidota bacterium
Lineage: Bacteria; Pseudomonadati; Bacteroidota
Description: bacterial SSU rRNA
Rfam family: Bacterial small subunit ribosomal RNA
Source: RNAcentral
GAUGAACGCUAGCGGGAGGCUUAACACAUGCAAGUCGAGGGGCAGCACGAGGUAGCAAUACUUUGGUGGCGACCGGCGCACGGGUGAGUAACGCGUAUGUAACCUACCCUGUACAGGGGGAUAGCCCGGAGAAAUUCGGAUUAACACCCCAUAAUGAUAUUGAGAGGCAUCUUUUAAUAUUUAAAGCUCAGGCGGUACGGGAUGGGCAUGCGUAACAUUAGCUAGUUGGUAGGUAACGGCCUACCAAGGCUGCGAUGUUUAGGGGUCCUGAGAGGGUGAUCCCCCACACUGGUACUGAGACACGGACCAGACUCCUACGGGUGGCAG